GAUGAACGCUGGCGGCGUGCCUAAUACAUGCAAGUCGAGCGAACAGACGAGGAGCUUGCUCCUCUGACGUUAGCGGCGGACGGGUGAGUAACACGUGGAUAACCUACCUAUAAGACUGGGAUAACUUCGGGAAACCGGAGCUAAUACCGGAUAAUAUAUUGAACCGCAUGGUUCAAUAGUGAAAGACGGUUUUGCUGUCACUUAUAGAUGGAUCCGCGCCGCAUUAGCUAGUUGGUAAGGUAACGGCUUACCAAGGCGACGAUGCGUAGCCGACCUGAGAGGGUGAUCGGCCACACUGGAACUGAGACACGGUCCAGACUCCUACGGGAGGCAGCAGUAGGGAAUCUUCCGCAAAGGGCGAAAGCCUGACGGAGCAACGCCGCGUGAGUGAUGAAGGUCUUCGGAUCGUAAAACUCUGUUAUUAGGGAAGAACAAAUGUGUAAGUAUCUAUGCACGUCUUGACGGUACCUAAUCAGAAAGCCACGGCUAACUACGUG
This 497-nucleotide ribosomal RNA is filed under the name uncultured bacterium. Its description in RNAcentral is "partial 16S ribosomal RNA". It matches the Rfam family "Bacterial small subunit ribosomal RNA", at positions 28 to 507 of the family's 1533-position model. The record is from RNAcentral.